GACGAACGCUGGCGGCGUGCUUAACACAUGCAAGUCGAACGGAAAGGCCCUGCUUUUGUGGGGUGCUCGAGUGGCGAACGGGUGAGUAACACGUGAGUAACCUGCCCUUGACUUUGGGAUAACUUCAGGAAACUGGGGCUAAUACCGGAUAGGAGCUCCUGCUGCAUGGUGGGGGUUGGAAAGUUUCGGCGGUUGGGGAUGGACUCGCGGCUUAUCAGCUUGUUGGUGGGGUAGUGGCUUACCAAGGCUUUGACGGGUAGCCGGCCUGAGAGGGUGACCGGCCACAUUGGGACUGAGAUACGGCCCAGACUCCUACGGGAGGCAGCAGUGGGGAAUAAUGCACAAUGGGCGGAAGCCUGAUGCAGCAACGCCGCGUGCGGGAUGACGGCCUUCGGGUUGUAAACCGCUUUCGCCUGUGGCGAAGCGUGAGUGACGGUAAUGGGUAAAGAAGCACCGGCUAACUACGUG
Molecule: ribosomal RNA, 468 nt
Filed under: uncultured bacterium
Lineage: Bacteria
Description: partial 16S ribosomal RNA
Rfam family: Bacterial small subunit ribosomal RNA
Source: RNAcentral